CUUGCUUUCUUUGCUGGCGACCGGCGCACGGGUGAGUAACACGUACCCAACCUGCCCUUUACUCGGGGAUAGCCUUUCGAAAGAAAGAUUAAUACCCGAUAGUAUAAUGAUUCCGCAUGGUUUCAUUAUUAAAGGAUUCCGGUAAAGGAUGGGGAUGCGUUCCAUUAGGUUGUUGGUGAGGUAACGGCUCACCAAGCCUUCGAUGGAUAGGGGUUCUGAGAGGAAGGUCCCCCACACUGGAACUGAGACACGGUCCAA
RNAcentral lists this ribosomal RNA (258 nucleotides) under uncultured bacterium. RNAcentral describes it as "partial 16S ribosomal RNA". It matches the Rfam family "Bacterial small subunit ribosomal RNA", at positions 75 to 334 of the family's 1533-position model. The record is from RNAcentral.